Molecule: non-coding RNA, 816 nt
Filed under: Trichomonas vaginalis G3
Lineage: Eukaryota; Parabasalia; Trichomonadida; Trichomonadidae
Description: Eukaryotic small subunit ribosomal RNA
Rfam family: Eukaryotic small subunit ribosomal RNA
Source: Rfam by way of RNAcentral
UCUACCUAGAGGGUUUCUGUCGAUCAAGGGCGAGAGUAGGAGUAUCCAACAGGAUUAGAGACCCUGGUAGUUCCUACCUUAAACGAUGCCGACAGGAGUUUGUCAUUUGUUAAUGGCAGAAUCUUUGGAGAAAUCAUAGUUCUUGGGCUCUGGGGGAACUACGACCGCAAGGCUGAAACUUGAAGGAAUUGACGGAAGGGCACACCAGGGGUGGAGCCUGUGGCUUAAUUUGAAUCAACACGGGGAAACUUACCAGGACCAGAUGUUUUUUAUGACUGACAGGCUUCGGGUCUUUCAGGAUAUUGUUUUUGGUGGUGCAUGGCCGUUGGUGGUGCGUGGGUUGACCUGUCUAGCGUUGAUUCAGCUAACGAGCGAGAUUAUCGCCAAUUAUUUACUUUGCCGAAGUCCUUCGGUUAAAGUUCUAAUUGGGACUCCCUGCGAUUUUAGCAGGUGGAAGAGGGUAGCAAUAACAGGUCCGUGAUGCCCUUUAGAUGCUCUGGGCUGCACGCGUGCUACAAUGUUAGGAUCAAUAGGACUGCGAGCCUGAGAGGGUGCGCUACUCUUAUAAUCCCUAACGUAGUUGGGAUUGACGUUUGUAAUCAGCGUCAUGAACCAGGAAUCCCUUGUAAAUGUGUGUCAACAACGCACGUUGAAUACGUCCCUGCCCUUUGUACACACCGCCCGUCGCUCCUACCGAUUGGAUGACUCGGUGAAAUCACCGGAUGCUUACGAGCAGAAAGUGAUUAAAUCACGUUAUCUAGAGGAAGGAGAAGUCGUAACAAGGUAACGGUAGGUGAACCUGCCGUUGGAUCAGUU